CCUACGGGAGGCAGCAGUGAGGAAUAUUGGUCAAUGGGCGCAAGCCUGAACCAGCCAAGUCGCGUGAGGGAUGACUGUCCUAUGGAUUGUAAACCUCUUUUGUCGGGGAGUAAGGCCCGCCACGUGUGGCUGUAAGGAGAGUACCCGAAGAAAAAGCAUCGGCUAACUCCGUGCCAGCAGCCGCGGUAAUACGGGGGAUGCGAGCGUUGUCCGGAUUUUUUGGUUUAAAGGGGGGCGAGGGGGGAAGUUUAAGUCAGCGGUAAAAUGUCGGGCCUAAACACAGGCCUGCCGUUGAUACUGGUAGUCUUGAGUAAGGGAGAGGUAUGCGGAAUGCGUGGUGUAGCGGUGAAAUGCAUAGAUAUCACGAAGAACUCCGAUUGCGAAGGCAGCAUACCGGCGCUCAACUGACGCUGAGGCACGAAAGCGUGGGGAUCGAACAGGAUUAGAUACCCCUGUAGUC
This 460-nucleotide ribosomal RNA is filed under the name uncultured bacterium. RNAcentral describes it as "partial 16S ribosomal RNA". It matches the Rfam family "Bacterial small subunit ribosomal RNA", at positions 338 to 795 of the family's 1533-position model. The record is from RNAcentral.